This 256-nucleotide ribosomal RNA is filed under the name uncultured bacterium. Its description in RNAcentral is "partial 16S ribosomal RNA". It matches the Rfam family "Bacterial small subunit ribosomal RNA", at positions 524 to 776 of the family's 1533-position model. The record is from RNAcentral.
UACAGAGGGUGCGAGCGUUGUUCGGAAUUACUGGGCGUAAAGCGCGCGCAGGCGGCCUUUUAAGUCCAUCGGUGAAAUGCCGGGGCUCAACCCCGUUGCAGGCCGAGGAUACUGGGAGGCUGGAGACACGUAGAGGCAAGCGGAAUUCCGGGUGUAGCGGUGGAAUGCGUAGAGAUCCGGAAGAACACCGGAGGCGAAGGCGGCUUGCUGGGCGUGAUCGUGACGCUGAGGCGCGAAAGCGUGGGGAGCGAACAGG